Molecule: RNA transcript, 3672 nt
Organism: Limulus polyphemus (Atlantic horseshoe crab)
Lineage: Eukaryota; Metazoa; Arthropoda; Merostomata; Xiphosura; Limulidae
Gene name: putative fatty acyl-CoA reductase CG5065
Exons: 16
Source: RefSeq, a predicted model, not a curated record
GAACGGCUGUGAUAAUUGUCCAGAACAAGGAUUAGACUGUUGAGACGGAGAUAAUAUUUUUUUUGCGUUAUAACACCUAAGACUUACCGUCGAGCCAUCGGAGGCUAGUUAAAACGACGCCUAGUUCUGAAAAUACGGUGUUUGGUUUGGGUAGAAAGUCGUACGUAUCAGUGUGGAAUACCAAAAGCUGGUGACCAGUGAUAUAGAAGCAGUACCAGUCAUUAAAAAUGGCAGAAAGUGAUUCUUCUCCUAUUGCUGAAUUUUUCCAGGAUCGUGGCGUUCUCAUCACCGGAGCAACGGGCUUCAUGGGAAAGGUAUUAGUGGAGAAGCUACUUUGUUGCUGUAGUGGAGUGAAGACUAUUUACCUUUUGUUAAGGUCUAAAGGAGGACGUAACUCCAGGAUGCGUCUUGAAGAACUUCUAAAUGCUGAGAUUUUUCGUAACAUUAGGAAAAAACAACCUCACUUGCUAUCGAAACUGGUUCCUGUUCAUGGAGAUAUCAUUCUUCCUGGGUUUGGUUUACGACCUUCAGAUAUGACACUUAUUGCAAAUGAAGUUUCUGUAGUUUUUCAUUCUGCAGCUACUGUGAAAUUUGAUGAGCCUCUUAAGCGUUCUGUAGAGAUGAAUAUAAUAGGUACCCGUAGACUUGUAGAAGUCUGCCACAAAAUGCCACUUCUAGUGGCACUGAUUCAUGUUUCCACAGCUUACUGCAAUUGUGACAGGGAUGAAGUGGAUGAGAUAGUUUAUCCACCACCAGCAAACCCACAGAAGGUUAUUGAUGCCCUAGAAUGGAUGGAUGAAGAUCUGGUGGCAUUAAUCACUCCAAAACUUCUGGGAAAUCGUCCUAAUACAUAUACUUAUACCAAAGCCCUAGCUGAAAAUAUCCUUGUUGAGGAAUGUGGCAGUUUGCCUGUUGCCAUCAUUCGACCAUCUAUUGUAACAGCAGCAUGGAAAGAUCCCCUUCCAGGAUGGAUUGACAACUUUAAUGGACCUUCAGGCCUCAUUGUAGCAACAGGAAAGGGUGUAUUAAGAUCAAUGUUGUGUCAACCAUGUGGAACUGCUGACCUUAUACCUGUUGAUGUGGUUAUCAAUCUUGUAAUCAGUGUUGCAUGGUAUACAGCCACAAAAAGGCCCAACAAUAUUAUGGUUUACCAUUGUACUUCUGGCUCCCAAAAUCGGCUAACAUGGGGAGAGUUGGAAUCUCUUAUUUUUCCUCUUGUAUAUGCACAUCCCAGCAAGGAAGUAUUACGAUAUCCUGGUGGCAGUUUUAAAAGUAAUCGCCUGCGGAAUGAAAUUUCAGUAUUUUUCAAUCAUCAGGUUCCAGCCCAAAUACUUGACUUUAUGGCUCGAAUUCUGGGACGAAAGCCAAACCUGGGAUUAGAGAGAAUGGUUCAGCUGUAUUCUCGACUCAACCGAGCUGUAAGCUGUUUGGAGUUCUUCACAACACACGAGUGGACAUUCCAUAAUAGUAAUGCUGAGACAUUAUAUGAGCAGCUAGUUGGAAAAGACAAAAAAAAAAUUUUGACUUUUCCAUCAAAAGUCUUAACUGGCCAUCAUAUUUUGAAGAUUAUGUUCUAGGAACCAGGAAAUAUUUGCUAAAGGAAGACCCAUCUACACUUCCAGCUGCCCGAAAAAAUCUCAAAAGGAUGUACCUGUAUAGUCAGCUGACAAACAUACUCUUCCUGCUAGGCAUCUGGAGACUUCUGAUGAUUCGAUCAAACAUUACUAGACGUCUGUUGUGGUUCUUUCUGUCAAUAGCAGUUCGUUUGUACAGGCUAUUUCCUGUGUCUUUUAUCUAAUAAAUGUUUCCCAUGGCUCGAAGUGUAAAUGUUUUACUACCUGAAUCAAGAGCUGGAUAUAAGCACUUUGUAUUUACAAGAACUAUAGUAGUAAAAAAACUGAGAUGUAGAAGUUAAUCAGCAUACAACUUAUGCAAUUUUUUUACUUAAAACUUGUGUAGUUCUUUCAUUUGAUAUAUGUGUAUAUUGGUUUCUUUUUUAAAAAAUUACAAAUUUUUCUCUCUUAACAAGGAAGGAUAAUUACAACUGGCAUUUUAUGAUCACUUAAAAGAAAGAUAGUAGAAAGUAAAAAGUGAAUGGGUCAAAUGUGUGUAUAAAACUCAAACUUCAACCUAGUAAGCUUCUUUGUAAAUUUUAGUCUUCAGAUACCACAAGCAAACCAAUUAUUAGUCUGAAUUAGUGCUUGCAAAGCUAAAAUACAUACUCUCAAACUUAAUCCACUGUCUUGUAGAAUCAAUCUGUUUUUCAAAGAUUGAAAAGAAAUUGUCUGUAAUACUUUCUCAAAAUUGUACUCAUCUUCUUGGUUAGUUUCUUGACAUCUUGCCAUUACUGAAUACCAUACAUCUAUUGGUGAACCUUGAAUGUAUAUAAAUAUGGCAUGAGUAUCUCUGUUUUAUGUUAGAAAUGCACUGACUGUCAACUAAAAUGUUGCAAUUUAAGAGAAGCUGUAAGUGUUUUAACCUCUGUAGUUGGAGCUACCUCUUUUUAUUUUGUAAUGUUGUGAACUGCAAUGUUGGUUUUCAAUGUUUGUGUGUCACCAUAUAAAUACAAUUACUAGUCACCGAUUCAACACCUACCUGAAAAAUUGUGAACUGAGAAUAAUACAAAAAAAAGGGACCAUUCCACAAUUUUUGCAUGAUGACUGUAGUAAACAUUUCCUUACAGCCUUGUUCCAAUGCCUUUAAUAUGGUGACAUUGACUACAAAGUUUAUUGCUAAAUAUUUCCCAACAUCAAAUUCAUGCAGCUUAUUUUAGUUUUAAGUGACCUUUUUACUAUACUGUUCUAAGUAUACUUAAUGUAUAAAACAUAAUCUGUGUAAUAAAAAAGUAUUUUAAAGUGGUAAUAUUACAAUAAAUUCUGAAUUUUUUGUUUAAACUGAAUCAAGUUCCUUACUCUUCCAAAUGAUAAUUUUCUGCAGGAGAAAGGUGACAAUUACUUUAAUUUACAGUAUUUGAAUGGUAAAUAAUAUGCAAAAAAUUAUUUUAAUAAAGAUGUAACUAUUAAAAGAAAAAAAAACUGCUUUUCCAGCCAACCAGAAUUAUUGGCAUGUUGAUAAACAUCUUUAUAAACUUUUCUAUGCAUGAUUUCAAUUUUUAUAUCAUUAGGUUUUUUUCUUGAAUCAUUUUAAAGCAAGAAAAAAUCUUUGGAAUUGUUUUUCAAAAGAAAAUUUUAAUACAUUUUACUAUGUUACUGAAGUUCAACAAAUGAAAAAUUUGGAAUAAUAAUAUCAUAGGCUUAAACUACUGAUUUGGUCAGAGAUUAAUACAGAAAUUUAUGAUGAAUCUAAAUCCCUUCCAAUGGAGAUUAACAAAUAGUGGGAUUUCAAACUAGGAAAAAUCAGGCAUUAACAUUGUAAUUUUUUGAGAAAAUACAAUCUAUUAAAUUUCUUAAAAUACUCAUAAGCACUAAAUAUCAUUAUCAAAGAUUGUUUUAAAGCUUACUUAUUUAAAAAUCAGGAAAAUUAGUUGAUGUUGAGUUUUUUUAUAGUAACAUUAAGAAAGCCUGUAUCAAUUCCUGCCAUAUGGAUGACAAUUGUAUGCUUUUGUGUUAUUUGUUUAUGCACUUACAAAUGUUUUACACUAAAGUGCAACAAUUUUAAAUUGUUUGUAAUUUUCUAAGACUUGUGGUUUUAAGUAAAAACAAUAUGCUAUUA